AUCCUGGCUCAGGACGAACGCUGGCGGCGUGCUUAACACAUGCAAGUCGAACGAUGAAGGAGGAGCUUGCUCCUCUGGAUUAGUGGCGAACGGGUGAGUAACACGUGAGCAAUGUGCCCUUGACUCUGGAAUAAGCGCUGGAAACGGCGUCUAAUACUGGAUACGACCUUCGGAGGCAUCUCCUGGGGGUGGAAAGAACUUCGGUCAAGGAUCAGCUCACGGCCUAUCAGUUAGUUGGUGAGGUAAUGGCUCACCAAGACGACGACGGGUAGCCGGCCUGAGAGGGUGACCGGCCACACUGGGACUGAGACACGGCCCAGACUCCUACGGGAGGCAGCAGUGGGGAAUAUUGCACAAUGGGCGCAAGCCUGAUGCAGCAACGCCGCGUGAGGGACGAAUGCCUUCGGGUUGUAAACCUCUUUUAGCAGGGAAGAAGCGAGAGUGACGGUACCUGCAGAAAAAGCACCGGCUAA
RNAcentral lists this ribosomal RNA (473 nucleotides) under Agrococcus sp. B2_7_cr. RNAcentral's name for it is "bacterial SSU rRNA". It matches the Rfam family "Bacterial small subunit ribosomal RNA", at positions 16 to 500 of the family's 1533-position model. Lineage: Bacteria; Bacillati; Actinomycetota; Actinomycetes; Micrococcales; Microbacteriaceae. The record is from RNAcentral.